Molecule: ribosomal RNA, 497 nt
Filed under: uncultured bacterium
Lineage: Bacteria
Description: partial 16S ribosomal RNA
Rfam family: Bacterial small subunit ribosomal RNA
Source: RNAcentral
GACGAACGCUGGCGGCGUGCCUAAUACAUGCAAGUUGAGCGCUGAAGGUUGGUACUUGUACCAACUGGAUGAGCAGCGAACGGGUGAGUAACGCGUGGGGAAUCUGCCUUUGAGCGGGGGACAACAUUUGGAAACGAAUGCUAAUACCGCAUAAAAACUUUAAACACAAGUUUUAAGUUUGAAAGAUGCAAUUGCAUCACUCAAAGAUGAUCCCGCGUUGUAUUAGCUAGUUGGUGAGGUAAAGGCCCACCAAGGCGAUGAUACAUAGCCGACCUGAGAGGGUGAUCGGCCACAUUGGGACUGAGACACGGCCCAAACUCCUACGGGAGGCAGCAGUAGGGAAUCUUCGGCAAUGGACGAAAGUCUGACCGAGCAACGCCGCGUGAGUGAAGAAGGGUUUCGGAUCGUAAAACUCUGUUGGUAGAGAAGAACGUUGGUGAGAGUGGAAAGCUCAUCAAGUGACGGUAACUACCCAGAAAGGGACGGCUAACUACGUG